GUUUGAUCCUGGCUCAGGAUGAACGCUAGCGGUAGGCUUAACACAUGCAAGUCGAACGGUAACAGGUCUGUUUACAGACGCUGACGAGUGGCGCACGGGUGAGUAACGCGUAUGCAACCUACCUUUUACCGAGGGAUAGCCCAGGGAAACUUGGAUUAAUACCUCAUGAUACUAUUAAAAGACAUCUUUUUUUAGUUAAAACUCCGGUGGUAAGAGAUGGGCAUGCGUGCCAUUAGCUUGUUGGUGAGGUAACGGCUCACCAAGGCAAUGAUGGCUAGGGGGUCUUAAAGGAUGGUCCCCCACACUGGUACUGAGACACGGACCAGACUCCUACGGGAGGCAGCAGUGAGGAAUAUUGGGCAAUGGACGAAAGUCUGACCCAGCCAAGCCGCGUGCAGGAUGACGGCCCUACGGGUUGUAAACCGCUUUUAUACGGGAAGAAACCUUCGAACGUGUUCGAAGCUGACGGUACCGUAAGAAUAAGCAUCGGCUAACUCCGUGCCAGCAGCCGCGGUAAUACGGAGGAUGCAGGCGUUAUCCGGAUUUAUUAGGUUUAAAGGGUGCGCAGGCGGGAUUGUAAGUCAGUGGUGAAAUCCUACAGCUUAACUGUAGAACUGCCAUUGAUACUGCUAUCCUUGAAUAUAGUUGAGGUAGGCGGAAUGUGUUGUGUAGCGGUGAAAUGCAUAGAUAUAACACAGAACACCGAUUGCGAAGGCAGCUUACUAAACUAUCAUUGACGCUGAGGCACGAAAGCGUGGGGAGCGAACAGGAUUAGAUACCCUGGUAGUCCACGCCGUAAACGAUGAUCACUAGUUGUGUGCGAUAUAUUGUACGUGACUGAGGGAAACCAUUAAGUGAUCCACCUGGGGAGUACGUUCGCAAGAAUGAAACUCAAAGGAAUUGACGGGGGCCCGCACAAGCGGAGGAACAUGUGGUUUAAUUCGAUGAUACGCGAGGAACCUUACCUGGGCUUAAAUGCAGCUGGACAGUUCUGGAAACAGAAUUUCCCUUCGGGGCUAGCUACAAGGUGCUGCAUGGCUGUCGUCAGCUCGCGCCGUGAGGUGUCGGGUUAAGUCCCAUAACGAGCCAACCCCUAUCCUUAGUUGCCAGCGGUUCACGCCGGGGACUCUAAGGAGACUGCUACCGUAAGGUGUGAGGAAGGUGGGGAUGACGUCAAGUCAGCACGGCCCUUACGUCCAGGGCUACACACGUGUUACAAUGGCCAGUACAAAGGGCAGCUACUUGGUGACAAGAUGCUAAUCUCUAAAACUGGUCUCAGUUCGGAUCGAAGUCUGCAACUCGACUUCGUGAAGGUGGAUUCGCUAGUAAUCGCGCAUCAGCAAUGGCGCGGUGAAUACGUUCCCGGGCCUUGUACACACCGCCCGUCAAGCCAUGGAAGCCGGGGGUACCUGAAGUCUGUAACCAUUAGGAGCGGCCUAGGGUAAACUGGUGACUGGGGCUAAGUCGUAACAAGGUA
RNAcentral lists this ribosomal RNA (1477 nucleotides) under metagenome. RNAcentral's name for it is "bacterial SSU rRNA". It matches the Rfam family "Bacterial small subunit ribosomal RNA". The record is from RNAcentral.